UGGGGAAUAUUGCACAAUGGGCGCAAGCCUGAUGCAGCAACGCCGCGUGGGGGAUGAAGGCUUUCGGGUUGUAAACUCCUUUCAGUACAGAAGAAGCUUUAUUGUGACGGUAUGUGCAGAAGAAGCGCCGGCUAACUACGUGCCAGCAGCCGCGGUAAUACGUAGGGCGCGAGCGUUGUCCGGAAUUAUUGGGCGUAAAGAGCUCGUAGGCGGUUUGUCGCGUCUGCUGUGAAAGACCGGGGCUUAACUCCGGGGCUGCAGUGGGUACGGGCAGGCUGGAGUGCGGUAGGGGUAACCGGAAUUCCUGGUGUAGCGGUGGAAUGCGCAGAUAUCAGGAGGAACACCGAUGGCGAAGGCAGGUUACUGGGCCGUUACUGACGCUGAGGAGCGAAAGCAUGGGGAGCGAACAGG
Molecule: ribosomal RNA, 411 nt
Filed under: Verrucomicrobiota bacterium
Lineage: Bacteria; Pseudomonadati; Verrucomicrobiota
Description: Verrucomicrobia bacterium partial 16S ribosomal RNA
Rfam family: Bacterial small subunit ribosomal RNA
Source: RNAcentral